RNAcentral lists this small RNA (220 nucleotides) under Marmota monax (woodchuck). The record is from RNAcentral. Lineage: Eukaryota; Metazoa; Chordata; Mammalia; Rodentia; Sciuridae.
ACAAACAAAGAUGUUGUGUCCGCCAAAAACUAAAAAAUAAAUAUUUAAAAAGAUUCUCUCUCUCUCUCUCUCUCUUUUUUUUAAAAGAGAGAGUGGGAGAGAGAGAGAGAGAAUUUUUUUUUUAAUAUUUAUUUUUUAGUUCUUGGCGGACACAACAUCUUUGUUUGUAUGUGGUGCUGAGGAUCGAACCUGGGCCACAUGCAUGCCAGGCAAGCGCGCU